RNAcentral lists this ribosomal RNA (454 nucleotides) under Gilliamella sp. wkB72. RNAcentral's name for it is "bacterial SSU rRNA". It matches the Rfam family "Bacterial small subunit ribosomal RNA", at positions 1 to 453 of the family's 1533-position model. The record is from RNAcentral. Lineage: Bacteria; Pseudomonadati; Pseudomonadota; Gammaproteobacteria; Orbales; Orbaceae.
UUAAAUUGAAGAGUUUGAUCAUGGCUCAGAUUGAACGCUGGCGGCAGGCUUAACACAUGCAAGUCGAACGGUAACAUGAGUGCUUGCACUUGAUGACGAGUGGCGGACGGGUGAGUAAAGUAUGGGGAUCUGCCGAAUGGAGGGGGACAACAGUUGGAAACGACUGCUAAUACCGCAUAAUGUUGAGAAACCAAAGCAUGGGACCUUCGGGCCAUGCGCCAUUUGAUGAACCCAUAUGGGAUUAGCUAGUUGGUGAGGUAAAGGCUUACCAAGGCGACGAUCUCUAGCUGGUCUGAGAGGAUGACCAGCCACACUGGAACUGAGACACGGUCCAGACUCCUACGGGAGGCAGCAGUGGGGAAUAUUGCACAAUGGGGGAAACCCUGAUGCAGCCAUGCCGCGUGUAUGAAGAAGGCCUUCGGGUUGUAAAGUACUUUCGGUAAUGAGGAAGGUG